This 508-nucleotide ribosomal RNA is filed under the name uncultured Pseudomonadota bacterium. RNAcentral's name for it is "bacterial SSU rRNA". It matches the Rfam family "Bacterial small subunit ribosomal RNA", at positions 397 to 896 of the family's 1533-position model. Lineage: Bacteria; Pseudomonadati; Pseudomonadota. The record is from RNAcentral.
CCGCGUGUGUGAAGAAGGCCUUCGGGUUGUAAAGCACUUUCGGCCGGAACGAAAUCGCGCGAGCUAACACCCCGCGUGGAUGACGGUACCGGAAGAAGAAGCACCGGCUAACUACGUGCCAGCAGCCGCGGUAAUACGUAGGGUGCGAGCGUUAAUCGGAAUUACUGGGCGUAAAGUGUGCGCAGGUGGCCGCGCAAGUCGAGUGUGAAAUCCCCGGGCUUAACUUGGGAAUUGCGCUCGAAACUACGUGGCUGGAGUGUGGCAGAGGAAGGUGGAAUUCCACGUGUAGCGGUGAAAUGCGUAGAGAUGUGGAGGAACACCAAUGGCGAAGGCAGCCUUCUGGGCCAACACUGACACUCAUGCACGAAAGCGUGGGGAGCAAACAGGAUUAGAUACCCUGGUAGUCCACGCCCUAAACGAUGAUGACUAGUUGUUGGAGGAGUUAAAUCCUUUAGUAACGCAGCUAACGCGUGAAGUCAUCCGCCUGGGGAGUACGGUCGCAAGAUUA